CAAAAACAUCGCCUCCCGCAAAAAUCAACGUAUAGGAGGUCUUGCCUGCCCAGUGACUAUAAGUUAAACGGCCGCGGUAUUUUGACCGUGCAAAGGUAGCGCAAUCACUUGUCUUUUAAAUGAAGACCCGUAUGAAUGGUAGAACGAGGGCUUAACUGUCUCCCCCUUCUAGUCAAUGAAAUUGAUCUACCCGUGCAGAAGCGGGUAUAAUUAUACAAGACGAGAAGACCCUUUGGAGCUUAAGAUAAAAGACCAACUAUGUUAAAAGUCCUAAAAACCUAAACCAAGUAGCACUGGUCCCAAUCUUCGGUUGGGGUGACCGCGGGAGAAAACAAAGCUCCCACGCGGAUUGGGGAGAUCCCCUAAAACUAAGAGAGACAUCUCCAAGGCACAGAAUAUCUGACCAAAAAGAUCCGGCUACCCGCCGACCAACGAACCAAGUUACCCUAGGGAUAACAGCGCAAUCCCCUUCCAGAGUCCAUAUCGACAAGGGGGUUUACGACCUCGAUGUUGGAUCAGGAUAUCCUAAUGGUGCAGCCGCUAUUAAGGGUUC
Molecule: ribosomal RNA, 553 nt
Filed under: Pseudolithoxus dumus
Lineage: Eukaryota; Metazoa; Chordata; Actinopteri; Siluriformes; Loricariidae
Description: partial 16S ribosomal RNA
Rfam family: Bacterial large subunit ribosomal RNA
Source: RNAcentral